GUUUAGAUAGAUUAAACAAAUCGUAUCAUUGAAGAUGAUAAAAUAAAUUAGGUUUCUAAACA
This 62-nucleotide transfer RNA is filed under the name Hirudo nipponia. Its description in RNAcentral is "tRNA-Phe". Lineage: Eukaryota; Metazoa; Annelida; Clitellata; Hirudinida; Hirudinidae. The record is from RNAcentral.